This 310-nucleotide ribosomal RNA is filed under the name Bacillus sp. H11. Its description in RNAcentral is "bacterial SSU rRNA". It matches the Rfam family "Bacterial small subunit ribosomal RNA", at positions 148 to 453 of the family's 1533-position model. Lineage: Bacteria; Bacillati; Bacillota; Bacilli; Caryophanales; Bacillaceae. The record is from RNAcentral.
GUUUNGAAAAGGCCGCAAAUUCAGCAUGCUUCCAAGGGGAGAAAGCAGAAAACGUACCAACCUUCUGCUAUCAGAUGAGCCUAGGUCGCAUUAGCUAGUUGGUGAGGUAACGGCUCACCAAGGCGACGAUGCCGUAGCCGACCUGAGAGGGAUGAAUCGAGCCACACUGGGAACUGAGACACGGCCCAGACUCCUACGGGAGGCAGCAGUAGGGAAUCUUCCCCAAUGGACGCAAGCCUGACCCAGCACACGCCGCGUGAGUGAAGAAGGUUUUUCGGAUCGUAAAGCUCUGUUGCCAGGGAAGAACGCC